Branchiostoma floridae (Florida lancelet) is the source of this 449-nucleotide long non-coding RNA. RefSeq lists it as uncharacterized. Lineage: Eukaryota; Metazoa; Chordata; Leptocardii; Amphioxiformes; Branchiostomatidae. The transcript has 3 exons. The record is from RefSeq and is a predicted model, not a curated record.
AGUUAAGUGUACGUGUCACCAAUUAAAAGAUGUCCAGCCCCUUGUCUGUCGGCCUCAUUCACAAGGUUUAUGAAUCGUCGAUCGACUUUGCUGGCUGCCAAGCAGCAUAUUCAGAAUGGGCUUUGAAGUAUGAAGAGACACCUAUGACGCGGUGCUGAUAGUUGGUUCCUUCACUCCCAAUUGGUCACAUCAACAGCCGGAAUGCUUCGAUGAGCUGGUCCAGAUCACAAAAUCGGGAGGAUUUAUCAUUGUAGGGACCUCGUCGGUAACGCUUGCAACAGACAUCGGAAAAGCUAUAGAGGCAAAACUACAGGAGCUCCAAGAGCGCAGCCUACUGUUCAUAGUGGACAAACCUACCCAGGCCAUGUUCUUCAAAGACUGGGAGGGAACCUUCUUCGUCUGCAAAAUCACGUGAUUUAGCCACGCCGAGGCGAAGGUAGUAGCAGUGA